This 458-nucleotide ribosomal RNA is filed under the name uncultured Clostridia bacterium. RNAcentral describes it as "bacterial SSU rRNA". It matches the Rfam family "Bacterial small subunit ribosomal RNA", at positions 10 to 474 of the family's 1533-position model. The record is from RNAcentral. Lineage: Bacteria; Bacillati; Bacillota; Clostridia.
AGUUUGAUCCUGGCUCAGGAUGAACGCUGGCGGCGUGCCUAACACAUGCAAGUCGAGCGGAGAUGAGUGAAGUGCUUGCACUUUGUUCAUUUUAGCGGCGGACGGGUGAGUAACACGUGGGUAAUCUGCCUUACACAGAGGAAUAACAAUGAGAAAUCAUUGCUAAAACCUCAUAAGCUCACAUUUUCGCAUGAAAGAGUGAGAAAAUAUUAAUAGGUGUAAGAGGAGCCCGCGUCUGAUUAGCUAGUUGGUAAGGUAACGGCUUACCAAGGCGACGAUCAGUAGCCGACCUGAGAGGGUGACCGGCCACAUUGGGACUGAGACACGGCCCAAACUCCUACGGGAGGCAGCAGUGGGGAAUAUUGCACAAUGGAGGGAACUCUGAUGCAGCAACGCCGCGUGAAGGAUGAAGGAUUUCGGUUCGUAAACUUCUUUAGGCAGGGACGAAAAAAAUGACG